Molecule: ribosomal RNA, 447 nt
Filed under: Percolomonas cosmopolitus
Lineage: Eukaryota; Heterolobosea; Eutetramitea; Percolomonadida; Percolomonadidae
Description: partial Bacterial small subunit ribosomal RNA
Rfam family: Bacterial small subunit ribosomal RNA
Source: RNAcentral
GGAGCAUGUGGUUUAAUUCGAUGAUACGCGAGGAACCUUACCAGGGCUUAAAUGUAGUCUGACAGGGGUGGAAACACCCCCUUCUUCGGACAGACUGCAAGGUGCUGCAUGGUUGUCGUCAGCUCGUGCCGUGAGGUGUCAGGUUAAGUCCUAUAACGAGCGCAACCCCUGUCGUUAGUUGCCAGCAUGUAAAGAUGGGAACUCUAACGAGACUGCCGGUGCAAACCGUGAGGAAGGUGGGGAUGACGUCAAAUCAUCACGGCCCUUACGUCCUGGGCCACACACGUGCUACAAUGGCAGGUACAAUGGGCAGCCACUGCGCAAGCAGGAGCGAAUCCACAAAACCUGUCUCAGUUCGGAUCGGGGUCUGCAACUCGACCCCGUGAAGCUGGAAUCGCUAGUAAUCGGAUAUCAGCCAUGAUCCGGUGAAUACGUUCCCGGGCCUUG